GAUGAACGCUGGCGGCGUGCCUAAUACAUGCAAGUCGAGCGAACGGACGAGAAGCUUGCUUCUCUGAUGUUAGCGGCGGACGGGUGAGUAACACGUGGAUAACCUACCUAUAAGACUGGGAUAACUUCGGGAAACCGUAGCUAAUACCGGAUAAUAUUUUGAACCGCAUGGUUCAAAAGUGAAAGACGGUCUUGCUGUCACUUAUGGAUGGAUCCGCGCUGCAUUAGCUAGUUGGUAAGGUAACGGCUUACCAAGGCAACGAUGCAUAGCCGACCUGAGAGGGUGAUCGGCCACACUGGAACUGAGACACGGUCCAGACUCCUACGGGAGGCAGCAGUAGGGAAUCUUCCGCAAUGGGCGAAAGCCUGACGGAGCAACGCCGCGUGAGUGAUGAAGGUCUUCGGAUCGUAAAACUCUGUUAUUAGGGAAGAACAUAUGUGUAAGUAACUGUGCACAUCUUGACGGUACCUAAUCAGAAAGCCACGGCUAACUACGUGCCAGCAGCCGCGGGUAUACGUAGGUGGCAAGCGUUAUCGGGAAUUAUUGGGCGUAAAGCGCGCGUAGCGGUUUUUUAAGUCUGAUGUGAAAGCCCACGGCUCAACCGUGGAGGGUCAUUGGAAACUGGAAAACUUGAGUGCAGAAGAGGAAAGUGGAAUUCCAUGUGUAGCGGUGAAAUGCGCAGAGAUAUGGAGGAACACCAGUGGCGAAGGCGACUUUCUGGUCUGUAACUGACGCUGAUGUGCGAAAGCGUGGGGAUCAAACAGGAUUAGAUACCCUGGUAGUCCACGCCGUAAACGAUGAGUGCUAAGUGUUAGGGGGUUUCCGCCCCUUAGUGCUGCAGCUAACGCAUUAAGCACUCCGCCUGGGGAGUACGACCGCAAGGUUGAAACUCAAAGGAAUUGACGGGGACCCGCACAAGCGGUGGAGCAUGUGGUUUAAUUCGAAGCAACGCGAAGAACCUUACCAAAUCUUGACAUCCUUUGACAACUCUAGAGAUAGAGCCUUCCCCUUCGGGGGACAAAGUGACAGGUGGUGCAUGGUUGUCGUCAGCUCGUGUCGUGAGAUGUUGGGUUAAGUCCCGCAACGAGCGCAACCCUUAAGCUUAGUUGCCAUCAUUAAGUUGGGCACUCUAAGUUGACUGCCGGUGACAAACCGGAGGAAGGUGGGGAUGACGUCAAAUCAUCAUGCCCCUUAUGAUUUGGGCUACACACGUGCUACAAUGGACAAUACAAAGGGCAGCGAAACCGCGAGGUCAAGCAAAUCCCAUAAAGUUGUUCUCAGUUCGGAUUGUAGUCUGCAACUCGACUACAUGAAGCUGGAAUCGCUAGUAAUCGUAGAUCAGCAUGCUACGGUGAAUACGUUCCCGGGUCU
This 1371-nucleotide ribosomal RNA is filed under the name uncultured bacterium. RNAcentral describes it as "bacterial SSU rRNA". It matches the Rfam family "Bacterial small subunit ribosomal RNA", at positions 28 to 1381 of the family's 1533-position model. The record is from RNAcentral.